AAAUUUUCCUAUAAACUUUAUACCUAGUUAAAUUAAUUUAAAAAUUUAGGCUAAAUUACAGAAAACCCCCCUGUCAAAACCCGAUUUUUUACUUUCCCUCCCUAUCAUUUAAAAACCUACACUUUACUCCCUUAUAAAAUGAAAAAUGUGCACUUCACUUCCUACCGUUAGUGAUCCGUUAGGGUUUCGUUAUAAAAUAUUUUUUUAUGCCCAAAACACCCUUCCGCCCUCUUUCCUGUUGCUUCGCCUCCCUUCGGCUCGCCGCCUCGCCGCCUCCUCGCCGUCUCGCCCUCCUCUACUGCCUUGCCCUCGCCCUCGUCCAUAUCCCCUUCGCCUUCCUCUGCCGCCUCACCUUCGCUCUCCUUGCCCUUGCCUACCUCUCCAUCAGCGCCCACCUCGAUUUCCUCCCUACUGUCGCCGAAAUCGAGGGCUGGCGAGGGUAUAGGAGAAGAAGGGAAGCAGGUGGAGAAGAAAAUGGAGAGAAAUCGCGGCCGAUUAAGGUGUGAAUCGCGGCCGAUCGAGGCGGCGGUUGAGGAAGAUGAGAGAGGAGACGAAAAUGGUGAGUGGCAAAAUAGUCAUUUCACACACCGUAUCCUCCCGUGAAUAUUUUUUAUUUUACAAGAGGGCAAAGUGUAGGUUUUAAAUGACAAGGGGGAAAGUGAAAAAUCGGAUUUUGAUAUGUGAGUGCUAUGUAAUUUAGCCAAAGAUUUAUAUAUUUAGUAGAUAAGGAGUGUGACGGAAUAUUUAGAAUGAAAUAUAAUAUUCGAUCUUUAAAAUAUUUUUUAGAAUAAAAUAAAUCAGUAUGCAUGUGAAAUAUGUUAUUCUAAUAAAUUACGAAUAGUAAGGCCUUUAAAGAAGCUGAAAUUAAGUCCUUAUAGUCAUACUAGAAAAUUUCUAUGCAUCGAAUAAGUAUCCAAUAUCCAAAUAUGACCUUACUGAUGGAUAUAAGAACAUGGUAAAAGACUUGAAUUUAAGACUUUGAAUUCAAGUCUUGAACACGGCUGAAAGUAAAAAUUUUAUAAAAAAUAAUGAUAAAAGAUUUGAAUUUAUGAUCAGAGAUACUGAUCUUACUCUAAAUAGUGAAGAGAAUUUUUUAUUAAAAUUUCAUCAGAUUUGUAUUGUUUAGCACUAUUAAAUUCACAAAAGCAUCACGUCGCCCUUUAAAAUUGUCAAUUUUGAGACCUUUUGAUUGCAAGUCAAAUAAUGUCGAAAAAUAUAAAAUUUGAUUUCUAAAUAUUUUCAAUAACGUAGAUCAAAUCUAACGGAGCUGAUUAUCGACUCAAAAGCCGAAUCAUCAAAAAUAACUUGGUAGCAGAGAGCUCUCCCUGCUACCAAUAAUAUAGUAGCCGGAC
Molecule: long non-coding RNA, 1352 nt
Filed under: Ananas comosus (pineapple)
Lineage: Eukaryota; Viridiplantae; Streptophyta; Magnoliopsida; Poales; Bromeliaceae
Description: long non-coding RNA (ACOM_LNC039401)
Source: RNAcentral